GAUGAACGCUGGCGGCGUGCCUAACACAUGCAAGUCGAGCGAAGCAUUUUAAAGGAAGUUUUCGGAUGGAAUUUGAAAUGACUGAGCGGCGGACGGGUGAGUAACGCGUGGGUAACCUGCCUCAUACAGGGGGAUAACAGUUAGAAAUGACUGCUAAUACCGCAUAAGCGCACAGCUUCGCAUGAAGCAGUGUGAAAAACUGAGGUGGUACGAGAUGGGCCCGCGUUGGAUUAGGUAGUUGGUGGGGUAACGGCCUACCAAGCCGACGAUCCAUAGCCGACCUGAGAGGGUGACCGGCCACAUUGGGACUGAGACACGGCCCAA
RNAcentral lists this ribosomal RNA (324 nucleotides) under uncultured bacterium. RNAcentral describes it as "bacterial SSU rRNA". It matches the Rfam family "Bacterial small subunit ribosomal RNA", at positions 28 to 334 of the family's 1533-position model. The record is from RNAcentral.